UACGUAGGGGGCAAGCGUUGUCCGGAUUUAUUGGGCGUAAAGAGCGCGUAGGUGGCCCUGUAAGUCCGUUGUGAAAGUCAAAAGGCUCAACCUUUGAAAGCCGAUGGAUACUGCAGGGCUAGAGUACGGAAGAGGCGAGUGGAAUUCCCGGUGUAGCGGUGAAAUGCGCAGAUAUCGGGAGGAACACCAGUGGCGAAGGCGGCACUCUGGGCCGGUACUGACGCUGAGGAGCGAAAGCGUGGGGAGCGAACAGG
Molecule: ribosomal RNA, 254 nt
Filed under: uncultured bacterium
Lineage: Bacteria
Description: partial 16S ribosomal RNA
Rfam family: Bacterial small subunit ribosomal RNA
Source: RNAcentral